RNAcentral lists this ribosomal RNA (253 nucleotides) under uncultured bacterium. RNAcentral describes it as "partial 16S ribosomal RNA". It matches the Rfam family "Bacterial small subunit ribosomal RNA", at positions 524 to 776 of the family's 1533-position model. The record is from RNAcentral.
UACGGAGGGUGCGAGCGUUAUCCGGAAUUACUGGGUUUAAAGGGUGCGUAGGCGGCGCUGUAAGUCAGGCGUGAAAGUUUGCGGCUCAACCGUAAAAUUGCUUUUGAUACUGCGGUGCUGGAAUUAGGAUGAGGUCAGCGGAAUGUGGCAUGUAGCGGUGAAAUGCAUAGAUAUGCCAUAGAACACCAAUUGCGAAGGCAGCUGGCUAGACCUGGAUUGACGCUGAGGCACGAAAGCGUGGGGAGCGAACAGG